GCCCUCGUAGCUCAGGGGAUAGAGCGUCUGCCUCCGGAGCAGAAGGCCGCAGGUUCGAUUCCUGCCGGGGGCA
This 73-nucleotide transfer RNA is filed under the name Nocardia cyriacigeorgica. RNAcentral's name for it is "tRNA-Arg". It matches the Rfam family "tRNA". Rfam says of the family: Transfer RNA (tRNA) molecules are approximately 80 nucleotides in length. Their secondary structure includes four short double-helical elements and three loops (D, anti-codon, and T loops). The record is from RNAcentral. Lineage: Bacteria; Bacillati; Actinomycetota; Actinomycetes; Mycobacteriales; Nocardiaceae.